UACGGAGGGGGCGAGCGUUAUUCGGAAUUAUUGGGCGUAAAGGGCGCGUAGGCGGCCUGAUAAGUCAAAGGUGAAAUCCCUCGGCUCAACUGAGGAAUUGCCUUUGAAACUGUCAGGCUUGAGGCCGGGAGGGGGUGGCGGAAUUCCCAGUGUAGCGGUGAAAUGCGUAGAUAUUGGGAGGAACACCAGUGGCGAAGGCGGCCACCUGGACCGGUUCUGACGCUGAUGCGCGAAAGCGUGGGUAGCAAACAGG
This 253-nucleotide ribosomal RNA is filed under the name uncultured bacterium. Its description in RNAcentral is "partial 16S ribosomal RNA". It matches the Rfam family "Bacterial small subunit ribosomal RNA", at positions 524 to 776 of the family's 1533-position model. The record is from RNAcentral.